GACGAACGCUGGCGGCGUGCUUAACACAUGCAAGUCGAACGGAAAGGCCCCUUCGGGGGUACUCGAGUGGCGAACGGGUGAGUAACACGUGAGUAACCUGCCCUUGACUUCGGGAUAACUUCAGGAAACUGGGGCUAAUACCGGAUAGGAAUCCUUGCUGCAUGGUGGGGGUUGGAAAGCUUCGGCGGUUUUGGAUGGACUCGCGGCUUAUCAGCUUGUUGGUGGGGUAGUGGCUUACCAAGGCUUUGACGGGUAGCCGGCCUGAGAGGGCGACCGGCCACAUUGGGACUGAGAUACGGCCCAGACUCCUACGGGAGGCAGCAGUGGGGAAUAUUGCACAAUGGGCGGAAGCCUGAUGCAGCAACGCCGCGGGCGGGAUGACGGGCUUCGGGUUGUAAACCGCUUUCAGCAGGGGCGAAGCUUGUGGUGACGGUACCUGCAGAAGAAGCACCGGCUAACUACGUG
RNAcentral lists this ribosomal RNA (465 nucleotides) under uncultured bacterium. RNAcentral's name for it is "partial 16S ribosomal RNA". It matches the Rfam family "Bacterial small subunit ribosomal RNA", at positions 28 to 507 of the family's 1533-position model. The record is from RNAcentral.